Molecule: ribosomal RNA, 485 nt
Filed under: uncultured bacterium
Lineage: Bacteria
Description: bacterial SSU rRNA
Rfam family: Bacterial small subunit ribosomal RNA
Source: RNAcentral
GACGAACGCUGGCGGCGUGCUUAACACAUGCAAGUCGAACGGAAAGGCCCAGCUUGCUGGGUACUCGAGUGGCGAACGGGUGAGUAACACGUGGGUGAUCUGCCCCUGACUUUGGGAUAAGCCUGGGAAACUGGGUCUAAUACCGGAUAUGACCUUUCCUCGCAUGGGGUUUGGUGGAAAGCUUUUGCGGUUGGGGAUGGGCCCGCGGCCUAUCAGCUUGUUGGUGGGGUAAUGGCCUACCAAGGCGACGACGGGUAGCCGACCUGAGAGGGUGAUCGGCCACACUGGGACUGAGACACGGCCCAGACUCCUACGGGAGGCAGCAGUGGGGAAUAUUGCACAAUGGGCGGAAGCCUGAUGCAGCGACGCCGCGUGAGGGAUGACGGCCUUCGGGUUGUAAACCUCUUUCACCAGGGACGAAGCUUUUGUGACGGUACCUGGAGAAGAAGCACCGGCCAACUACGUGCCAGCCGCCGCCGUAACAC